GUUCCUAAAAGAAAGGGAUAAAAAAAAGAAGAAAAGAAAAAGAAACUGUCUAGCACAUGCACUAUAUUUGAAUAAUUAGAAUAAAUUUUAGAUGGUUAGCUAGAAUUUCCACACGGUGAAGAAAUUUCCUAGCGUAAAUCUAUGGUCAAGAUAUAAGAGUGAAGUUUGGUGCUGCCUAGCUUUCUGCCGUGUCUCGGGGCCAAAGUUCUGGAGCAAGAACCCAAGUGGUAACCUCAAUAUCUCAGAAUGUCUUCGGGUUUUGCUUUACCGCCCCCACCCCCCGCCAACAGCAGUGGGACGCCAGUCAUCCUCAGUAAGUUGUUCUUUAUGAAAUGAAAGGAAUGUAUUACAUUAUGUGAAAUUCUAGAACCCUCUCUGUAAAUAGAACUUCUGAUCUUAUUGAUUGAAGAAAAGAAUACAAUGAAUGAAUGAAUUACAUCACUACUCCUAUUUAUAUACAAUCUAAGCAAAUAAUGAAAGUAACUAACUUCGCAAUUGGAGGGAAAAUCUGUUACAAAUUAUCCUAUCUAUUAGACCACGUGUACAUUGACCAAAAAUCUGUAACUGCUUCUUCUAUCCAUGUGGCAGUGCUUCUUCAUACGUGUGAAUGAACUGUUCAUAGUAAGGAACUACUUCAAUCAAUUCUAGUAGCUUUGCACUAACCUAGUCACUCUGUGUUUUAGUUGUUUGAUCACUGCACUAUUCUCCAACUCUAGUUUUAGGCUUGUUCUUGUCUUGAGUGCACUCUUUCUUGCUUUCAACACUCCCCCUCAAGAGCAAAGCUCUUGCUUCUUGAUUCUGUGAUGAGUACUCAGGAUAUUGAAUGUUUUGAGCAAAGAUAUUAAUAACUCCUAACCUUCUCAGUAACCUUAGAAAAUUAUCCACUCCAAGAGCUUUAGUAAAAAUAUUUGCCAAUUGAUUCCUAGAAGUCACAUGAAAAGUCUUGAUUGUUCCAUCUAGAACUCUAUUCCUCACAAUAUGACAAUCUGCCUCAAUAUGCUUGGAUUUUUCAUGGAAGACUGAAUUAGUAUAUAUAUAUGCAAAGCAGCCUAGUUAUCACAGUACAUUAGGACUGGUUUGUCAUGUGAGACAUGGAGAUCCUUUAGCAAGUACAACAACCAAGUUACCUUACAUGUGGUUGAAGCCAUGGAUCUAUAUUCUGCUUUUGCAGAAGAUCUAGACACCACAAUCUGUUUCUUUGAUCUCCAAGAAACCAAAGCAUUACCAAGAAAAACACAAUAACCAGUGAGUGAUUUUCUGGUAUGAAGGCAGCCUGCCCAAUCUACAUCACAAUAGGUUUUAAGUUGCAAAUCAGAGUCCACAGGGAAGAAGACUCCUUGUCCUAGUGUUCCUUUGAGGUAUUGUAAAAUUUUGGUAGUUGCCUUCAUAUGUGGCACUCUAGGCUGUGAUAAGAAUUGACUAAGUCUAUGAACAGCAUAAGUGAUGUCAGGCCUACUAAGAGUUAGGUACAUCAAUUUCCCUAUCAAUCUCCUAAACUGACCCGAGUCCUUAAGCAAUUCUCCAUCACUCUUUGAUAAUUUUAACUGCUGCUCCAUAGGUGUUUUGGCAGGUUUGCACCCAAUCAUCCUUGCCUCUUUAAGUACCUCAAGUGCAUACUUUCUUUGGUUUAAGCUAAUACCCUUAUCACUUCUAGCAAUUUCUAAACCUAGGAAGUAUUUAAGGUAACCAAGAUCUUUAAUGCCAAAUUUCUGGUCUAAAACAGUUUUUACUGUAAAUUGGCUAUAUCAUUACCUAUGUUAGGACAUAGGUGGAACUUGUUAGAACAUAUGUUAUUGUAAAUUGGCUAAUUCUUUGACAAAACACACUUUACUUGUAAUUGGGUAGAUCUAGGAUGGAUUUAGUACUUCAAGGAACAAGAGUUUAAGUCUAGUAUUAAAGCCAUGCAAAUCUGUCCAAGAAACAAGUGAAAAAGUGUUGUUCAUUAAAGCUCGACAGAUAAUAUCUAUCAAGGUUUAAUAAGAAUUCUCGACAGCUCUCGACAAAAGCUAUAUUUAUCGAGAAUUACGAAAUUCAGAUUUUUAGAUCUGUUUUUCACGCAUAUCCAAGUUAUUUGUGUAGGGUUUCUUUUCUCACAACCCUAGACAUAUAUAAUGAUUAUUUUAAGGGCCGUCAAAAGUGAUUCAAGGUGAUGCAACUUGAUGCAAAGUGAUUAUUCACUCACAUUGUGACCAGAGACAAUUGCCCUAGUUCAUCAUCUUGCUUGUAGAAGUUGCUGCGUUUGUGCAUCGAGGGUUUUGUAACCAAGGAGCUUCUUGAUCUUCAUCAUCUGAAUGAACUGAAGAACUUCGCAGCCAACAUUUUUCUCAAGUUGGUGUGUUAGUCAUGUACUUGGAUCGGUGUAUCGAUUGGCUAGUCAUAUACUGGGAGCUGUGCAUUGAAAGGAGAGAUUGUCACUACAUUACAAGUCCAAUUGUGUAUUGGGGUAUGGGUUCAAUUGUAGGAUGGUAUUAGGUACUAGGAUUCCUUUUACUUGUAAUCGCUUAUUUUGAUAAUAGUGGAUUUUCGGGAGUGGUGAUCUUAAAUUCACUCGGUGGGGUUUUGUCUCGGUGGUUUUCCCCAUUCAUAAACAAAUCACUUGUGUCAAAUUUAUUUUCCGCUGCAUUUAACUUAG
Molecule: long non-coding RNA, 2632 nt
Organism: Quercus robur (English oak)
Lineage: Eukaryota; Viridiplantae; Streptophyta; Magnoliopsida; Fagales; Fagaceae
Exons: 3
Source: RefSeq, a predicted model, not a curated record